GGGGAAUAUUGGACAAUGGGCGCAAGCCUGAUCCAGCCAUGCCGCGUGAGUGAAGAAGGCCUUCGGGUUGUAAAGCUCUUUCGGCGGGGACGAAAUGGUUCGUGCUAAUACCACGGACUGAUGACGGUACCCGCCGAAGAAGCACCGGCUAACUACGUGCCAGCAGCCGCGGUAAUACGUAGGUGGCAAGCGUUGUCCGGAUUUAUUGGGUUUAAAGGGUGCGUAGGUGGCCCUGUAAGUCAGUGGUGAAAUAUCUCAGCUUAACUGAGAGGGUGCCAUUGAUACUGCAGGGCUUGAGUACAGAUGAGGUAGGCGGAAUUGACGGUGUAGCGGUGAAAUGCAUAGAUAUCGUCAAGAACACCGAUAGCGAAGGCAGCUUACCAAGCUGUAACUGACACUGAGGCACGAAAGUGUGGGGAUCAAAC
RNAcentral lists this ribosomal RNA (425 nucleotides) under uncultured bacterium. RNAcentral describes it as "bacterial SSU rRNA". It matches the Rfam family "Bacterial small subunit ribosomal RNA", at positions 356 to 773 of the family's 1533-position model. The record is from RNAcentral.